Non-coding RNA from Benincasa hispida (wax gourd), 3364 nucleotides. Lineage: Eukaryota; Viridiplantae; Streptophyta; Magnoliopsida; Cucurbitales; Cucurbitaceae. The record is from RefSeq and is a predicted model, not a curated record.
ACCCCCAACUCCUUCCCCGUUUUUCUAUAAUCAUUUUUUCCCUCGUUUUUCUCUGCUCCGCCCUUUGCCGUUGGCUGUGUCGGAGACCACCGGAGGACCGCCGUCUCUGCCUCUUAACACACGCCGCCUCCCCCAUUCCGCUUUACGCCAUCGUGUUUCUCCGGUGUUAGCCAACGGCUUGUAUUCUCAAUAUCCUCUCAACGCCCUCCAUUUUUUGAUUUCCGAUUAUAUUAACUCAAUUCGCUCUCUACGAUUGCUGAAUUUCUUCAUUUGCAUUUUGGUUGAUUCAUCUUCAUUUUUUUUUCGUUUCUGGGAUUGGUGUUUAGUUUUUGUUCGGCAAUAAUGAACGGUCAUGAUACGGAGCCGUUGGUGUACGUUCACGGCGACCUCGAUUUGAAGAUCAUUGAGGCGCGCCGUUUGCCUAAUAUGGAUUUGCUAUCGGAACGUAUUAGGCGGUUUUUUACUGUUUUUAGUUCUUGUCAGAAACCGUUUUCCAAGAAGAAGGAUAAGGAGGAUCACCAGCACCACCGGAAGAUUAUUACUAGUGAUCCUUACGUCACCGUCUGUCUUGCUGGAGCGACGGUUGCUCGGACACGAGUUAUUUCGAACUCGCAGAACCCUAUCUGGAAUGAGCACUUCAAAAUCCCUCUUGCUCAUCCGGUCUCGCAGGUGGAGUUUCAUGUCAAGGAUAACGAUGUGUUUGGUGCGGAUUUGAUUGGUAUUGCAACAGUCCCUGCGCGCAGAGUUCUUUCUGGCGAAACCAUAGAUGAUUGGUUUCCGAUUAUCGGUUCAUUUGGGAAACCGCCGAAGCCGGAUUCGGCUGUGCGUUUGGAAAUGAAAUUCACAAAGUGCGAGGACAAUCCUCUGUACCGUUAUGGCAUUGCGGCCGAUCCCGAACAUUUUGGCGUUCGGAAUUGCUAUUUUCCGAUACGGCAUGGGGGUUCAAUAACGCUUUAUCAGGACGCACACAUUCCUGAUUCCAUGUUGGAGAAGAUUGAAUUGGAAAAUGGAUUGUAUCAGCAUGAGAAUUGCUGGGAGGAUAUAUGCCAUGCAAUUUUGGAGGCUCACCAUUUAGUAUACAUCGCCGGUUGGUCCAUAUAUCAUAAGGUGAAGCUGGUGAGAGAGCCUUCAAAGCCGUUGCCUAAUGGUGGGAAUUUGAACUUGGGAGAGUUGCUCAAGUACAAGUCACAAGAAGGGGUGCGAGUCUUGUUAUUGGUUUGGGAUGACAAGACUUCCCACAGCAAAUUCUUCAUUAAUACGACAGGAGUGAUGCAAACUCAUGAUGAGGAGACCCGGAAGUUUUUCAAGCACUCUUCUGUGUCAUGUGUGCUGUCACCCCGAUAUGCCAGCAGUAAGCUUAGCAUUUUUAAGCAACAGGUUGUUGGAACGCUUUUCACCCAUCACCAGAAGUGCGUGAUUGUGGAUACACAAGCAUCUGGAAAUUACCGGAAGAUAAGUUCUUUUAUUGGAGGACUUGACCUUUGUGAUGGCCGUUACGAUACUCCCGAGCAUCGGUUGCUAAAAGAUCUUGACACUGUAUUUGAUAAUGAUUAUCAUAAUCCAACUUUUUCUGGAGGUACUAAGGGUCCUCGGCAGCCAUGGCAUGAUUUACAUUGCAAAAUUGAAGGGCCUGCGGCAUAUGAUGUGCUUACUAACUUUGAACAACGAUGGCGGAAAGCCACAAAAUGGUCUGAAUUAGGUCAGCGGUUCAAAAGAGUAUCACAUUGGCAUGAAGAUGCUUUAAUAAAGUUGGAACGCAUAUCUUGGAUACUUAGUCCAUCUCAGUCAGUCCCCAAUGAUGAUCCUAUGUUAUGGGUUUCCAAGGAAAAUGAUCCUGACCAUUGGCAUGUUCAGGUUUUCCGAUCCAUAGAUUCAGGAUCUUUGAAAGGAUUUCCCAAAGAUGUUUUUCAAGCUGAGUUGCAGAAUCUGGUUUGUGCAAAAAAUUUGGUUAUUGACAAGAGUAUUCAAACAGCAUAUAUUCAAGCAAUAAGAUCUGCCCAACACUUCAUAUACAUUGAGAAUCAGUAUUUUCUUGGAUCAUCGUUUGCCUGGCCUUCGUACAAAGAAGCAGGUGCUGAUAAUCUUAUUCCUAUGGAGUUGGCGUUGAAGAUUGCUAGUAAGAUAAGAGCCAAUGAGAGGUUUGCUGUCUACAUUGUGAUACCAAUGUGGCCUGAAGGGGCUCCCACUUCUGUUUCUGUGCAAGAAAUCCUGUUUUGGCAGGGUCAGACAAUCCAAAUGAUGUAUGAAGUCAUUGGACGAGAGUUGAAAUACAAGAAUCUUGAGAACGCUCAUCCCUCAGACUACUUAAACUUUUACUGUCUUGGCAAUAGGGAACCACACGAGGACUUAACAUGUUCCUCUGGUCAUUGUUCCAAGAGCGAAGACAUGGUUUCAGACUCGCAAAAGUUCCGUAGAUUCAUGAUAUAUGUGCAUGCGAAAGGAAUGAUUGUUGACGAUGAGUAUGUAAUAGUAGGGUCAGCAAAUAUAAAUCAAAGAUCAAUGGCUGGUUCAAGGGACACUGAGAUUGCCAUGGGUGCAUAUCAACCCACUUACACAUGGGGUAAGAAGAAACAACAUCCACGAGGCCAGAUUUAUGGCUAUAGAAUGUCGCUCUGGGCUGAACAUUUGGGAAACAUAGACGAUUGCUUCAAGGAGCCAGAAAGUUUGACUUGUGUGAACGCAGUCAACAAGAUAGCUGAAGAUAACUGGAAGAAAUACACAGCAACAGAAUAUACGCCAUUGCAAGGGCACCUCCUUAAGUACCCGAUCGAGGUCAGCAAAAGUGGGAAGAUAGGUCCGUUAACUGGACACGAGACCUUCCCUGACUUUGGUGGUAAGGUCCUUGGAGCUCGAUCUAACCUCCCUGAUGCUCUUACUACAUAAGCUUUUACUCUUCUCGUGGCUUCUUAUCAAUUUGACUUCUAUUUUGAGUUCAAUUCUCUUCACUUUCAAGCAUGGGAAAGAGAGGCGUAUUUGUUCAAGGAUGGAGCAGAAACAAAGCCCUAUAAUAGUAAGUGCCGUCAAGAUAAAUCGUCUCGUGAUUGAAUUGUACCCGAAAAAGUAGUCAUCUGAUACAGUUGACCCAUUUGUUAAUUCUCUUUGUGCACAACGAUCAUGUCGUCCAUGCUAGUAAGAAUAUAUUCCGUGUGGAUUCGAUGCCAGUUUACCUCUCAAAUCAAUAUGGUGUAGUGCUAAGAGUAUAUAGGACAACGAAGGUAUUGUUUGUCGCAGACCGACUGUCUCAACACUAUCUAGAUGAUGUUACUCUACUAUAUGGAAGCAUAUAAGAUGGCUAACGGUCAACUAGAUGUUUCACCAUCACGACAGUAAUUAGGUAGAGAUGACCAAAUCUGUUGUGUAUGGC